RNAcentral lists this ribosomal RNA (433 nucleotides) under uncultured bacterium. RNAcentral describes it as "partial 16S ribosomal RNA". It matches the Rfam family "Bacterial small subunit ribosomal RNA", at positions 29 to 507 of the family's 1533-position model. The record is from RNAcentral.
AACGGACGCUGGCGGCAUGCCUAACACAUGCAAGUCGAACGAGACCUUCGGGUCUAGUGGCGCACGGGUGCGUAACGCGUGGGAACCUGCCCUUAGGUUCGGAAUAACUCCCCGAAAGGGGUGCUAAUACCGGAUAAUGUCUUUGGACCAAAGAUUUAUCGCCUUUGGAUGGGCCCGCGUUGGAUUAGCUAGUUGGUAGGGUAAAAGCCUACCAAGGCGACGAUCCAUAGCUGGUCUGAGAGGAUGAUCAGCCACACUGGGACUGAGACACGGCCCAGACUCCUACGGGAGGAAGGAGUGGGGAAUAGUGGACAAUGGGCGAAAGCCUGAUCCAGCGAUGCCGCGUGAGUGAUGAAGGCCUUAGGGUUGUAAAGCUCUUUUAGCCGGGAUGAUAAUGACAGUACCGGGAGAAUAAGCUCCGGCUAACUCCGUG